Molecule: microRNA precursor, 205 nt
Filed under: Oryza nivara
Lineage: Eukaryota; Viridiplantae; Streptophyta; Magnoliopsida; Poales; Poaceae
Description: MIR812 microRNA precursor family
Rfam family: MIR812 microRNA precursor family
Source: Rfam by way of RNAcentral
UUUAAAUGUAAUCAUAAAUUACCGUGUUUAAUUUUAAUCGUUUGUUUUAUUUAAUUUUUUUAUAAUUAGUAUUUUUUUGUUAUUAUGAGAUGAUAAAAUAUAAAUAGUAAUUUAUACAUGACUUAUGUUUUUAAAUUUUUUUUAGAAAAUUUUAAUUAAGACAGACAAUUAAAGUUGUGUACGGAAAAUCAUAGCUGUACUUAAU